AGCAGCCGCGGUAAUUCCAGCUCCAAUAGCGUAUAUUAAAGUUGUUGCAGUUAAAAGCUCGUAGUUGAAUUUCGGGAUCAAUUAAUCGGUCGUGCCUCUGGUACGCACUGGUUUUAUUGGUUUCUCCCUUCUGACGAACCAGGAUGUCAUUAAUUUGGUGUCUUGGAGAAUCAGGACUGUUACUUUGAAAAAUUAGAGUGUUUAAAGCAGGCUAACGCUUGAAUACAUUAGCAUGGAAUAAUGAAAUAGGACGUUUGAUCCUAUUUUGUUGGUUUCUAGGAUCGACGUAAUGAUUAAUAGGGAUAGUUGGGGGCAUUAGUAUUCAAUUGUCAGAGGUGAAAUUCUUGGAUUUAUUGAAGACUAACUACUGCGAAAGCAUUUGCCAAGGAUGUUUUCAUUAAUCAAGAACGAAAGUUAGGGAUCGAAGACGAUCAGAUACCGUCGUAGUCUUAACCAUAAACUAUGCCGACUAGGGAUCGGAUGAUGUUAAUUUUUAAUGACUCAUUCGGCGCCUUAAC
RNAcentral lists this unclassified non-coding RNA (518 nucleotides) under uncultured Glomus. Its description in RNAcentral is "SSU rRNA". It matches the Rfam family "Eukaryotic small subunit ribosomal RNA", at positions 569 to 1092 of the family's 1831-position model. Lineage: Eukaryota; Fungi; Glomeromycota; Glomeromycetes; Glomerales; Glomeraceae. The record is from RNAcentral.